Molecule: long non-coding RNA, 1025 nt
Organism: Haemorhous mexicanus (house finch)
Lineage: Eukaryota; Metazoa; Chordata; Aves; Passeriformes; Fringillidae
Exons: 3
Source: RefSeq, a predicted model, not a curated record
CUUCCGUGGUGGCUCAGAGAGCCUCCCACCCUCUGCUGCCUCUGCUCCCAGCAAGGACUGCUCUGUACACAACGACUGAAUGAACCAGUGCCAACUCUAACCCACACUCUGCUCUGUUCCCAGCCAACCGUGCAGGGAGGAUAAAGGGCAGGCCCCAAGUGCAUCCUACAAGCUUCAGCCACAGGGUCAGCUUUGAUUUGGGUGAGUCAGAAACAUAUUUAUCUCUGAAAUUCUCCUCUGUGCCUGGGAAUGAAGUGUUUCUCCUCAUCUCAGAAGAAAGAGACGUACUUUAAAUAACAGCAGUGCCAAAAAAGAAAAUAAAAGAUCAAAAUGCUAACACUACAAAUGCUGCACGGACUGGGACCCAAACAUACUGGAAUGCACUGAUUUAUUUCACAAGUGGAGGACACCCACGUACCAGGCUGUUGUUGUGUGGAGGCAAUCCAUGGCAUUCAGAACUUACAGCUCAUGUCAACCCCAGCCACUGCAUAAACAGCAUCCAGAGACAUUUCCUGUGCUGCAGAAUAGAACUGAAGUUGACCAUAAAAUGUGUGUAAUCUAAACUGCAGAAAUCCCUCCACUCUAAUGAUCUGUUCCCUACAAGAAAAAUGUAAAGUGUUUAAAAGAUUUAGCAAAAUCUGUGCAUAAAUUGAAUAAAUCAUCAUGGUAUCAAUUAUAUCUUAAAAAUGGUGUUCAGCUCUUAUAACAUCAAGGACUGGUUUUAAUUAUGGCUUCAGUGUAACUAAUGUUUUCUUGAUUUUAAUGACUGUUGUCCUAUUAUAGGAUUAACUUGUGAUGAAGCUGAAGAAGCCAGAAUAAUUUUCAGUUAAAAGAAUUGCAAAGACCUUUGACAGGUACACCAGUAAGAGCAGAUUGUUUUGAAGUACGUUGGAUUUUGGCCCAAAUUCUGUUCCAGUUUCUGACUCAGAGUCAUCCCCUGGCAGUAUGGCAAGUGAGACUUGGCCUUUUUUCCAGAAGUGCAGAAAGUAAAUAUGGCAGUGGGCUGCAAGGGCGAGGCUGUGGGA